UGCCUCUUAGCUCAGUUGGUAGAGCAUGCGGCUGUUAACCGCAGGGUCGUCAGUUCGAGCCUGACAGAGGCAGCCA
This 76-nucleotide transfer RNA is filed under the name Clostridiales bacterium. Its description in RNAcentral is "tRNA-Asn". It matches the Rfam family "tRNA". Rfam says of the family: Transfer RNA (tRNA) molecules are approximately 80 nucleotides in length. Their secondary structure includes four short double-helical elements and three loops (D, anti-codon, and T loops). Further hydrogen bonds mediate the characteristic L-shaped molecular structure. tRNAs have two regions of fundamental functional importance: the anti-codon, which is responsible for specific mRNA codon recognition, and the 3' end, to which the tRNAs corresponding amino acid is attached (by aminoacyl-tRNA synthetases). tRNAs cope with the degeneracy of the genetic code in two manners: having more than one tRNA (with a specific anti-codon) for a particular amino acid; and 'wobble' base-pairing, i.e. permitting non-standard base-pairing at the 3rd anti-codon position. The record is from RNAcentral. RNAcentral also lists the same sequence under 1 other name. Lineage: Bacteria; Bacillati; Bacillota; Clostridia; Eubacteriales.